AGAGUUUGAUCAUGGCUCAGGAUGAACGCUAGCUACAGGCUUAACACAUGCAAGUCGAGGGGCAGCAUUGGAGUAGCAAUACUCAGAUGGCGACCGGCGCACGGGUGAGUAACACGUAUCCAACCUGCCGCUUACUCGGGGAUAGCCUUUCGAAAGAAAGAUUAAUACCCGAUGGUAUAAAGAGUUCGCAUGUUCUCUUUAUUAAAGAAUUUCGGUAAGCGAUGGGGAUGCGUUCCAUUAGAUAGUUGGCGGGGUAACGGCCCACCAAGUCUACGAUGGAUAGGGGUUCUGAGAGGAAGGUCCCCCACAUUGGAACUGGGACACGGUCCAAACUCCUACGGGAGGCAGCAGUGAGGAAUAUUGGUCAAUGGACGAGAGUCUGAGCCAGCCAAAGUAGCGUGAAGGAUGACUGCCCUAUGGGUUGUAAACUUCUUUUAUAAGGGAAUAAAGUGAGGGACGUGUCCCUUUUUGUAUGUACCUUAUGAAUAAGGAUCGGCUAACUCCGUGCCAGCCGCCGC
RNAcentral lists this ribosomal RNA (518 nucleotides) under uncultured bacterium. RNAcentral describes it as "bacterial SSU rRNA". It matches the Rfam family "Bacterial small subunit ribosomal RNA", at positions 8 to 518 of the family's 1533-position model. The record is from RNAcentral.